This 60-nucleotide microRNA precursor is filed under the name Gekko japonicus. RNAcentral's name for it is "Gja-Mir-146-P1_pre stem-loop". It matches the Rfam family "mir-146 microRNA precursor family", at positions 16 to 75 of the family's 90-position model. The record is from RNAcentral. Lineage: Eukaryota; Metazoa; Chordata; Lepidosauria; Squamata; Gekkonidae.
UGAGAACUGAAUUCCAUAGGCUUUGUGAUAACAGAAACGCCCCAUGGAUUCAGUUCUACA